GAGAGCACCACCAGGGUAAAGUGACAACACUGACACACUUCUGCUGCUGUGUUUUAUGAAGAAGACCAUUAUCAAGUAUGUCUUUUCUUCCUUGAAGCCGAACACAUUGACUUCAGAUGAUUACGCUUAACUUUCCCAGAAGUCCAGACAAGCAGAUGAUAACUUCCACCAGGACAAUAGAGUGAAGCUCAAGGACACACAGAAUCUCAUUUUCCAAACCUGGAAAAUAAGCACCAGAAUGACUCAUCAGCCAGCAAGAUGCAUGAAGAGACCAAAUCCUCUGAAUGAAUUCUGCAGUGGAAGCUAAAAGGAUUCAAUAGGAAAUAGGAAACCCCAGUCACCCAGGAAUCUUGGAAGUGAUUGUGGACUGGUCAGAAGACAAAGACUUUGGAAUAUU
RNAcentral lists this long non-coding RNA (397 nucleotides) under Anas platyrhynchos platyrhynchos (common mallard). Its description in RNAcentral is "lncRNA (ENSAPLG00000029274.1)". The record is from RNAcentral. Lineage: Eukaryota; Metazoa; Chordata; Aves; Anseriformes; Anatidae.